Molecule: long non-coding RNA, 1108 nt
Organism: Pungitius pungitius (ninespine stickleback)
Lineage: Eukaryota; Metazoa; Chordata; Actinopteri; Perciformes; Gasterosteidae
Exons: 3
Source: RefSeq, a predicted model, not a curated record
UUUCAGAUCAUUUGCAACCCUAUUACUGGAUGCAAUGAAGUUGAAUGGAGUCCGAUUUGACACAUUUUGCAUCAUUUUAGCACAAUUGCAUCAUUUUGACCCUCAUCGUAUUGCUGCAUUCAUAAACUCAACAAGAGAAAUAUUUUUAACUUAAAAUAUAAAUUGCAUGGAAAAGGGAUAUGGCCGAUGUCUUCAGGCAGCAGGUUAAAGCUCUAGUUACACUUCAUUUAUUUCUACAGCACAUAGCUGGGUUCAGAUUAACAUAGGAACACCCGGUGACUUUGUUUCAGAUUCAUUUAAUUGAAUGAAUUUAAUUAAAUUUUAAACUGCAGUUUUUUACAUAUUGAAGUGGACUUGUGGUCAACGUAUGCUGUUCACAGGCCUUUGUUGUCUUUUCUGACAUUUGUCUUGUUAUUUUUGAUGACCACGACCUAUGAACUCCAUUAGAGGACAACGAUUUGGACUCAAAUUCUGCAGCAACAUCCCAAUGCUGGAUACCAAAUGAUGGUUGGGCAUUUGAAUGCACAACACACACAUAUACAAGAAACACCUUCACGUUAUCAAGGAUGGCAGGACCUGCUGCAACUACGCACCGAGGGAAACCAGUCCCACUGAGAACCAGGAAAACCAGUCCCACUACGCAUGAGGGAAACCAGUCCCAAUACGCAUGAGGGAAACCAGUUCCACUUUGCAUGAGGGAAACCAGUCCCACUAUGCAUGAAAGAAGCCAGUCCCACUAUGCAUGAGGGAAACCAGUCCCACUAUGCAUGAGGGAAACCAGUCCCCGCUGCAACGGAGUCUCCAUGAAGACGAGCACAGCAGGACCCAGUACAGGUCCACAUGGUGUUUGGAGUGGACUGGACUGGACCGUGUGGUCAUCGUCAGCCUGGUGUUCUGGUCCCUGAAGUUCAGCCGCAGCGCUGAUGGCCCCUGGUCCAGUGUGUUGGAUGUCUUCGUACAAACUGUAUGCUUAAUAUCAGAAAUGCUCCAGUAAAUCUCAGUGUCACCAGCUGCAUGAUGCAAGUUAAAUAAUGUUUUCACCAUAGAUCUGAAAUCAAUGUUGAAUUGCAUUCUUAUUUCCCAAACUUCUCUCGAAUAAAUUAAAAGA